Molecule: long non-coding RNA, 476 nt
Filed under: Ananas comosus (pineapple)
Lineage: Eukaryota; Viridiplantae; Streptophyta; Magnoliopsida; Poales; Bromeliaceae
Description: long non-coding RNA (ACOM_LNC007379)
Source: RNAcentral
UUCAUGCUUGAAUAAACAACUUAGAUAUAUUAUGGUUCAGUUUUGUUAUAUUAUUUGAAUAUCUGAGUUUUCAGUUGGAUUAUGAUGUAAUAAAAAGGAUUUGUGGAUUUCAAAUGUUGAAUGGUAUUCUACCCCUCGCGGUAGAGUUUCUAAAAGAUAAAAGUUCCCAUGUAGGGAACAGUUUUUAAAAGAUUUUUUGUGGAUUUUGUAUCUUAGUAUUUCAAAACCUGUUUCUGGGUUGGAAACGUUUUAACUGAUAGAUGUAGAUUUAUGUUUAAAUAUUGAAUGUAUAAUUGUGAUGUGAAUGGUGAAUGAAUGAUUGUAUAGUUGUUUCUAUAUUCAUUUAGUUGUGGUUGUAUCCAGUUUACUUGUUGUACUUGUGCGACGCCGUGCAAAUACAGGAGAGACUCUGUCCGUGUGAUCAGUGAACUCUCUGUAUUUAUGGUGGAUCUGGCAUAUUCUGGGGUCAGGUCUUU